This 447-nucleotide ribosomal RNA is filed under the name uncultured bacterium. RNAcentral's name for it is "partial 16S ribosomal RNA". It matches the Rfam family "Bacterial small subunit ribosomal RNA", at positions 29 to 523 of the family's 1533-position model. The record is from RNAcentral.
AACGAACGCUGGCGGCAGGCCUAACACAUGCAAGUCGAGCGCCCCGCAAGGGGAGCGGCGGACGGGUGAGUAACACGUGGGAAUUUUCCUCAAGGUACGGAACAACUCAGGGAAACUUGGGCUAAUACCGUAUGAUGCAGAGAUGCCAAAGAUUUAUCGCCUUGGGAUAAGCCCGCGUCAGAUUAGGUAGUUGGUGGGGUAACGGCCUACCAAGCCUGCGAUCUGUAGCUGGUCUGAGAGGACGAUCAGCCACACUGGGACUGAGACACGGCCCAGACUCCUACGGGAGGCAGCAGUGGGGAAUCUUGCGCAAUGGGCGAAAGCCUGACGCAGCCAUGCCGCGUGAAUGAUGAAGGUCUUAGGAUUGUAAAGUUCUUUCGCUCGUGACGAUGAUGACGGUAACGAGAGAAGAAGCCCCGGCUAACUUCGUGCCAGCCGCCGCCGUAA